UGCAAAAACACAGUAAAAAGACGGAAGUUUGCCCAUUUCUGCUCAGGAAGUCUCUUUGCUCCUAAGCUUCAUAUGUUGUCCAAUUUGGCUUCAAAAUUUCUGCUAUUAUUACUGUUUCUCCUCCUUUUGAUCUUCCUUUUGUUCCCCAGUGCCAGAAUUUCCAGAGCCUUCUUGCUCAGAUGCCAUCUUUUUGUAUGCCAUUUCGAAGAGUUUCAGUGAUGCCUGCUGAAGAGAGGAUGCUGCUUGUCCAAUGUUUUCUCCCGUUUCGCUAUCUUUUCUAGCCAGAAGCCCCUUCAUUUUGGAAAUCUCUUCUUUUAGCUUUUGCACUUAACAGCAGUGUGGUGAGGAGAAAGGAAGUGCCAGAUUUAUCCCAUGAUCUGAAAUUCGACCACAUAUGAGCAACUGUAUAUGAGAAAGAGCUACUAAGUAAGACAUUCUGUUUCCUGGUGAGGAAGGAGAGAGUAAUGACCAAACCAUGCUCCUGGUGUUAUAUACCCAGUCAUUCAACAAGACCUCCCAACUAGAGCAAAAUGGAAAAAGGUUGUCUGUUCACUCCGACUAUGCAGCCAUAAAAAGAAAGGAGAUCAUGUCCUUUGCCAGGACAUGGAAGAGCUGGAAGCCAUUAUCCUCAACAAAUUAACACAGGAACGGAAAACCAAACACCACAUGUUCUCACUUAUAAGUGGGAGUUCAACAAUGAGAACACAUGGUCACAGGGAGGGGAACAACACACAUUGGAGCCUGUCAGAGGAGGUGGGGAGGGAGAGCAUUAGGAUAAAUAGCUAAUGAAUGUGGGCUUAAUACCUAAGUGAUGGACUGAUAGGUGCAGCAAACCAUCAUGGCACACGUUUACCUAUGUAACAAACCUGUA
Long non-coding RNA from Pan troglodytes (chimpanzee), 871 nucleotides. RefSeq lists it as uncharacterized. NCBI's taxonomy places the organism in Eukaryota, Metazoa, Chordata, Mammalia, Primates, Hominidae. The transcript has 3 exons. The record is from RefSeq and is a predicted model, not a curated record.